AAUAUACUCCCUCCGUUUAGAAUUACUUGUCGUACAAAUUCAUGUAUCUAGACGUAUUUUAGUUCUAGAUACAUUCAUAUCCGAGACGAGUAAUUCCGAACGGAGGGAGUAUAAG
This is a non-coding RNA of Triticum aestivum (bread wheat), 115 nucleotides long. The record is from Rfam. Lineage: Eukaryota; Viridiplantae; Streptophyta; Magnoliopsida; Poales; Poaceae.